GGAUGCGAUCAUACCAGCACUAAAGCACCGGAUCCCAUUAGAACUCCGAAGUUAAGCGUGCUUGGGCGAGAGUAGUACUAGGAUGGGUGACCUCCUCGGAAGUCCUCGUGUUGCAUUCC
RNAcentral lists this ribosomal RNA (119 nucleotides) under Triticum aestivum (bread wheat). The record is from RNAcentral. Lineage: Eukaryota; Viridiplantae; Streptophyta; Magnoliopsida; Poales; Poaceae. RNAcentral also lists the same sequence under 1 other name.